CAAGGGCAUAAUGAGUGAUGGCCCAGGAGAGUUAAGUAUGUGUUGCAUACUUGACUUUGUAUCCCCUGGCACUCUUGCCGGCUAAAUGAUCAAUAAAGCUUGUGUUGGUUUAUCUAA
Molecule: long non-coding RNA, 117 nt
Organism: Amblyraja radiata (thorny skate)
Lineage: Eukaryota; Metazoa; Chordata; Chondrichthyes; Rajiformes; Rajidae
Exons: 3
Source: RefSeq, a predicted model, not a curated record